RNAcentral lists this unclassified non-coding RNA (210 nucleotides) under uncultured fungus. RNAcentral describes it as "sequence contains ITS1". Lineage: Eukaryota; Fungi. The record is from RNAcentral.
UCGCUGAAGAGAGCGAAGUUGCUGCUGGCUUGGGCAAUGCGGUGAAUGGCGCCGAUGAUGCAGCCCUUUUGUACUGAUCGCGGUAAAGUCGUGCGGAAGUGCGGAUAUCUGGUCAUUUCGAAUGGAAUGACAGAUUGCUUGUCGAAAACAGAAAUGAGCCCGACAUCAGUAGAAGAGUCGAUGAGAAAUCCGCCGAAAGUCACUUUGCGG